This 1104-nucleotide ribosomal RNA is filed under the name Triticum aestivum (bread wheat). Its description in RNAcentral is "partial small subunit ribosomal RNA". The record is from RNAcentral. Lineage: Eukaryota; Viridiplantae; Streptophyta; Magnoliopsida; Poales; Poaceae.
AUGGACAAUUUCAAGAUCACUAGUUACGCCAAUGCGCUGGUGGAAAACACUAAGCUUGACUUCCAAAGCUUGUAUCUGCACAGGAUCAGGUCUGGGGAUAAGAAAAACCAGUAUGUGGUGAUAGAUGGAGUUGGUGCUACUGACAUUUGUCUCACAACCAUCAACGACUGGGCAAUAUAUGAUGGUGCGGCCGUGGACGCAAAGCUAGUUGCUCAUGCAAAAGGCAUGCAUAUGAAUGCUGCCGCUGCUGACUGCUGCAAUUUAUUCAUCAUAGUGUUCGAGCUUGACAGCUUCAAAGGAUCCACGCUUGCAGUAAUGGGAGCAACUACAGAGGAACAAGGUGAAUGGGCUAUUGUUGGUGGGACUGGUCAGUUCGCUAUGGCGCGUGGUGUCAUCCAGAGGAAAAUGCAUCAAAAAUUAGCUGAUGGACAAGGAGAUGUGUUAGAGCUUACUAUCGAGGCAUUCUGCCGCAGGAAGGGGCAGCCGGAGCCUCCGGCCACCACUCCGCAGACUCCUACCACCCAGCCGAUUCAGCCUCCUGUUCAGCCGCCUCUUGCCACCACCCAGCCCAUUCAGCCUCCUGUUCAGCCACCUCCUGCCCCCACGAAGCCGAUUCAGCCUCCUACCCCCACUCCCAUAAAGAAUGGACCAUGGGGCGGAACAACGAGUGACACACUUCAUCAUUUCAACCCAAACAUGUCUAAAGGCCUAAAGAGUGUGACAUUCAUCUAUUAUCGGGCUGUUAAUGGACUUCGUUUCAAUUAUACCGGCCAAGAUGGCUAUGAAGAAUCCAGCGAACUUUUUGGUAAUAACGGCCAGGGCCCCGACGCUAAAAGGCAAACGGUUCAUCUAGGCCCUAAGGAGUUUGUGACGGGGCUGUCAGGAACAUACCAACAUGAAGGCAGAUCAAAUAAUAUUGCUAUAUAUUCCCUUAAGCUGGUCACCAACCUCGGCAAAACUCAUGGACCUUUUGGAACUGCUAGCAUAGGCACCGGUUUCAGCUUUUUGGUGCCUCCAAACAGCAGAAUUGUGGGCUUCUUUGGGGGAUCUACCGGUUACGCCGUCAAUUCAAUUGGUGCCUACACGCUCGAAAAUUCUGCUUAG